Non-coding RNA from Tachysurus fulvidraco (yellow catfish), 412 nucleotides. Lineage: Eukaryota; Metazoa; Chordata; Actinopteri; Siluriformes; Bagridae. The record is from the annotation of a RefSeq genome assembly.
ACCCACAGCAACCAUGACUUUGAUCAGCGUCUUCAUCUGCACACUGGCCCUCUGGACUCAAGGAUCCAGAGGUCAGGUGACUGUGACUCAGACUCCUUCAGUGCAAACUGUUGCUCCAGGAAACACAGUCACCAUCAACUGUAAAACCAGUAGCGGAGUGAAUGGUGGUAACUAUCUACACUGGUACCUGCAGAAACCUGGAGAAGCUCCUAAACUCCUGAUCUACGCUGCUACUAGCAGACAGUCAGGGAUUCCAGAUCGUUUCAGUGGCAGUGGAUCUAAUACUGACUUCACUCUGACCAUCAGUGGAGUCCAGACUGAAGAUACAGGAGAUUACUACUGUCAGAGUGCACAUUAUAUCAGUCCUAACUGGGUGUUCACACAGUGUUAGAGCGUCGUACAAAAACCUCGG